AACGAACGCUGGCGGCAGGCCUAACACAUGCAAGUCGAGCGCGCCCUUCGGGGUGAGCGGCGGACGGGUGAGUAACGCGUGGGAACGUGCCCUUCUCUGCGGAAUAGCCUCGGGAAACUGAGAGUAAUACCGCAUACGCCCUUUGGGGGAAAGAUUUAUCGGAGAAGGAUCGGCCCGCGUUGGAUUAGGUAGUUGGUGGGGUAAUGGCCCACCAAGCCGACGAUCCAUAGCUGGUUUGAGAGGAUGAUCAGCCACACUGGGACUGAGACACGGCCCAGCCUCCUACGGGAGGCAGCAGUGGGGAAUCUUAGACAAUGGGGGCAACCCUGAUCUAGCCAUGCCGCGUGAGUGAUGAAGGCCUUAGGGUUGUAAAGCUCUUUCAGCUGGGAAGAUAAUGACGGUACCAGCAGAAGAAGCCCCGGCUAACACCGUG
RNAcentral lists this ribosomal RNA (433 nucleotides) under uncultured bacterium. RNAcentral's name for it is "partial 16S ribosomal RNA". It matches the Rfam family "Bacterial small subunit ribosomal RNA", at positions 29 to 507 of the family's 1533-position model. The record is from RNAcentral.